GAUGAACGCUAGCUAUAGGCUUAACACAUGCAAGUCGAGGGGAAACGGCAUUAUGUGCUUGCACAUUUUGGACGUCGACCGGCGCACGGGUGAGUAUCGCGUAUCCAACCUGCCCUUUACUUGGGGAUACCCCGUUGAAAGACGGCCUAAUACCCGAUGUAAUUCAUUGAUGGCAUCAGAUAUGAAUAAAAGAUUUAUCGGUAAAGGAUGGGGAUGCGUCUGAUUAGCUUGUUGGUGAGGUAACGGCUCACCAAGGCGACGAUCAGUAGGGGUUCUGAGAGGAAGGUCCCCCACAUUGGAACUGAGACACGGUCCAAACUCCUACGGGAGGCAGCAGUGAGGAAUAUUGGUCAAUGGACGGAAGUCUGAACCAGCCAAGUAGCGUGCAGGAAGACGGCCCUAUGGGUUGUAAACUGCUUUUAUACGAGAAUAAUUUGAUGCACGUGUGCGUUAUUGCAUGUAUCGUAUGAAUAAGGACCGGCUAAUUCCGUGCCAGCAGCCGCGGUAAUACGGAAGGUCCAGGCGUUAUCCGGAUUUAUUGGGUUUAAAGGGAGUGUAGGCGGUUUGUUAAGCGUGUUGUGAAAUUUAGGUGCUCAACAUUUAACUUGCAGCGCGAACUGUCAGACUUGAGUACACGCAACGUAUGCGGAAUUCAUGGUGUAGCGGUGAAAUGCUUAGAUAUCAUGAAGAACUCCGAUUGCGAAGGCAGCAUACGGGAGUGUAACUGACGCUUAAGCUCGAAGGUGCGGGUAUCGAACAGG
RNAcentral lists this ribosomal RNA (761 nucleotides) under uncultured Prevotella sp. RNAcentral's name for it is "bacterial SSU rRNA". It matches the Rfam family "Bacterial small subunit ribosomal RNA", at positions 28 to 776 of the family's 1533-position model. Lineage: Bacteria; Pseudomonadati; Bacteroidota; Bacteroidia; Bacteroidales; Prevotellaceae. The record is from RNAcentral.